This 2902-nucleotide ribosomal RNA is filed under the name Klebsiella pneumoniae. Its description in RNAcentral is "23S ribosomal RNA". It matches the Rfam family "Bacterial large subunit ribosomal RNA". The record is from RNAcentral. Lineage: Bacteria; Pseudomonadati; Pseudomonadota; Gammaproteobacteria; Enterobacterales; Enterobacteriaceae.
GGUUAAGCGACUAAGCGUACACGGUGGAUGCCCUGGCAGUCAGAGGCGAUGAAGGACGUGCUAAUCUGCGAAAAGCGUCGGUAAGGUGAUAUGAACCGUUACAGCCGGCGAUGUCCGAAUGGGGAAACCCAGUGCAAUUCGUUGCACUAUCGUUAACUGAAUACAUAGGUUAACGAGGCGAACCGGGGGAACUGAAACAUCUAAGUACCCCGAGGAAAAGAAAUCAACCGAGAUUCCCCCAGUAGCGGCGAGCGAACGGGGAGCAGCCCAGAGUCUGAAUCAGCUUGUGUGUUAGUGGAACGGUCUGGAAAGUCCGACGGUACAGGGUGAUAGUCCCGUACACCAAAAUGCACAGGUUGUGAACUCGAAGAGUAGGGCGGGACACGUGGUAUCCUGUCUGAAUAUGGGGGGACCAUCCUCCAAGGCUAAAUACUCCUGACUGACCGAUAGUGAACCAGUACCGUGAGGGAAAGGCGAAAAGAACCCCGGCGAGGGGAGUGAAAAAGAACCUGAAACCGUGUACGUACAAGCAGUGGGAGCACCUUCGGGUGUGACUGCGUACCUUUUGUAUAAUGGGUCAGCGACUUAUAUUCUGUAGCAAGGUUAACCGUAUAGGGGAGCCGCAGGGAAACCGAGUCUUAACUGGGCGUUAAGUUGCAGGGUAUAGACCCGAAACCCGGUGAUCUAGCCAUGGGCAGGUUGAAGGUUGGGUAACACUAACUGGAGGACCGAACCGACUAAUGUUGAAAAAUUAGCGGAUGACUUGUGGCUGGGGGUGAAAGGCCAAUCAAACCGGGAGAUAGCUGGUUCUCCCCGAAAGCUAUUUAGGUAGCGCCUCGUGAACUCAUCUUCGGGGGUAGAGCACUGUUUCGGCUAGGGGGUCAUCCCGACUUACCAACCCGAUGCAAACUACGAAUACCGAAGAAUGUUAUCACGGGAGACACACGGCGGGUGCUAACGUCCGUCGUGAAGAGGGAAACAACCCAGACCGCCAGCUAAGGUCCCAAAGUCAUGGUUAAGUGGGAAACGAUGUGGGAAGGCACAGACAGCCAGGAUGUUGGCUUAGAAGCAGCCAUCAUUUAAAGAAAGCGUAAUAGCUCACUGGUCGAGUCGGCCUGCGCGGAAGAUGUAACGGGGCUAAACCAUGCACCGAAGCUGCGGCAGCGACACUAUGUGUUGUUGGGUAGGGGAGCGUUCUGUAAGCCUGCGAAGGUGACCUGUGAGGGUUGCUGGAGGUAUCAGAAGUGCGAAUGCUGACAUAAGUAACGAUAAAGCGGGUGAAAAGCCCGCUCGCCGGAAGACCAAGGGUUCCUGUCCAACGUUAAUCGGGGCAGGGUGAGUCGACCCCUAAGGCGAGGCCGAAAGGCGUAGUCGAUGGGAAACAGGUUAAUAUUCCUGUACUUGGUGUUACUGCGAAGGGGGGACGGAGAAGGCUAUGUUAGCCGGGCGACGGUUGUCCCGGUUUAAGCAUGUAGGCUGGUUAUCCAGGCAAAUCCGGAUAAUCAAGGCUGAGGUGUGAUGACGAGGCACUACGGUGCUGAAGUAACAAAUGCCCUGCUUCCAGGAAAAGCCUCUAAGCAUCAGGUAACAUCAAAUCGUACCCCAAACCGACACAGGUGGUCAGGUAGAGAAUACCAAGGCGCUUGAGAGAACUCGGGUGAAGGAACUAGGCAAAAUGGUGCCGUAACUUCGGGAGAAGGCACGCUGGUGUGUAGGUGAAGUCCCUGCGGAUGGAGCUGAGACCAGUCGAAGAUACCAGCUGGCUGCAACUGUUUAUUAAAAACACAGCACUGUGCAAACACGAAAGUGGACGUAUACGGUGUGACGCCUGCCCGGUGCCGGAAGGUUAAUUGAUGGGGUUAUCCGUAAGGAGAAGCUCUUGAUCGAAGCCCCGGUAAACGGCGGCCGUAACUAUAACGGUCCUAAGGUAGCGAAAUUCCUUGUCGGGUAAGUUCCGACCUGCACGAAUGGCGUAAUGAUGGCCAGGCUGUCUCCACCCGAGACUCAGUGAAAUUGAACUCGCUGUGAAGAUGCAGUGUACCCGCGGCAAGACGGAAAGACCCCGUGAACCUUUACUAUAGCUUGACACUGAACAUUGAGCCUUGAUGUGUAGGAUAGGUGGGAGGCUUUGAAGCGUGGACGCCAGUCUGCGUGGAGCCAACCUUGAAAUACCACCCUUUAAUGUUUGAUGUUCUAACGUUGGCCCCUUACCGGGGUUGCGGACAGUGUCUGGUGGGUAGUUUGACUGGGGCGGUCUCCUCCCAAAGCGUAACGGAGGAGCACGAAGGUUAGCUAAUCCUGGUCGGACAUCAGGAGGUUAGUGCAAUGGCAUAAGCUAGCUUGACUGCGAGCGUGACGGCGCGAGCAGGUGCGAAAGCAGGUCAUAGUGAUCCGGUGGUUCUGAAUGGAAGGGCCAUCGCUCAACGGAUAAAAGGUACUCCGGGGAUAACAGGCUGAUACCGCCCAAGAGUUCAUAUCGACGGCGGUGUUUGGCACCUCGAUGUCGGCUCAUCACAUCCUGGGGCUGAAGUAGGUCCCAAGGGUAUGGCUGUUCGCCAUUUAAAGUGGUACGCGAGCUGGGUUUAGAACGUCGUGAGACAGUUCGGUCCCUAUCUGCCGUGGGCGCUGGAGAAUUGAGGGGGGCUGCUCCUAGUACGAGAGGACCGGAGUGGACGCAUCACUGGUGUUCGGGUUGUCAUGCCAAUGGCACUGCCCGGUAGCUAAAUGCGGAAGAGAUAAGUGCUGAAAGCAUCUAAGCACGAAACUUGCCCCGAGAUGAGUUCUCCCUGAGACUUUAAGUCUCCUGAAGGAACGUUGAAGACGACGACGUUGAUAGGCCGGGUGUGUAAGCGCAGCGAUGCGUUGAGCUAACCGGUACUAAUGAACCGUGAGGCUUAACCUU